RNAcentral lists this ribosomal RNA (1372 nucleotides) under uncultured bacterium. RNAcentral's name for it is "bacterial SSU rRNA". It matches the Rfam family "Bacterial small subunit ribosomal RNA", at positions 28 to 1381 of the family's 1533-position model. The record is from RNAcentral.
GAUGAACGCUGGCGGCGUGCCUAAUACAUGCAAGUCGAGCGAACGGACGAGAAGCUUGCUUUUCUGAUGUUAGCGGCGGACGGGUGAGUAACACGUGGAUAACCUACCUAUAAGACUGGGAUAACUUCGGGAAACCGGAGCUAAUACCGGAUAAUAUUUUGAACCGCAUGGUUCAAAAGUGAAAGACGGUCUUGCUGUCACUUAUAGAUGGAUCCGCGCUGCAUUAGCUAGUUGGUAAGGUAACGGCUUACCAAGGCAACGAUGCAUAGCCGACCUGAGAGGGUGAUCGGCCACACUGGAACUGAGACACGGUCCAGACUCCUACGGGAGGCAGCAGUAGGGAAUCUUCCGCAAUGGGCGAAAGCCUGACGGAGCAACGCCGCGUGAGUGAUGAAGGUCUUCGGAUCGUAAAACUCUGUUAUUAGGGAAGAACAUAUGUGUAAGUAACUGUGCACAUCUUGACGGUACCUAAUCAGAAAGCCACGGCUAACUACGUGCCAGCAGCCGCGGUAAUACGUAGGUGGCAAGCGUUAUCCGGAAUUAUUGGGCGUAAAGCGCGCGUAGGCGGUUUUUUAAGUCUGAUGUGAAAGCCCACGGCUCAACCGUGGAGGGUCAUUGGAAACUGGAAAACUUGAGUGCAGAAGAGGAAAGUGGAAUUCCAUGUGUAGCGGUGAAAUGCGCAGAGAUGUGGAGGAACACCAGUGGCGAAGGCGACUUUCUGGUCUGUAACUGACGCUGAUGUGCGAAAGCGUGGGGAUCAAACAGGAUUAGAUACCCUGGUAGUCCACGCCGUAAACGAUGAGUGCUAAGUGUUAGGGGGUUUCCGCCCCUUAGUGCUGCAGCUAACGCAUUAAGCACUCCGCCUGGGGAGUACGACCGCAAGGUUGAAACUCAAAGGAAUUGACGGGGGCCCGCACAAGCGGUGGAGCAUGUGGUUUAAUUCGAAGCAACGCGAAGAACCUUACCAAAUCUUGACAUCCUUUGACAACUCUAGAGAUAGAGCCUUCCCCUUCGGGGGACAAAGUGACAGGUGGUGCAUGGUUGUCGUCAGCUCGUGUCGUGAGAUGUUGGGUUAAGUCCCGCAACGAGCGCAACCCUUAAGCUUAGUUGCCAUCAUUAAGUUGGGCACUCUAAGUUGACUGCCGGUGACAAACCGGAGGAAGGUGGGGAUGACGUCAAAUCAUCAUGCCCCUUAUGAUUUGGGCUACACACGUGCUACAAUGGACAAUACAAAGGGCAGCGAAACCGCGAGGUCAAGCAAAUCCCAUAAAGUUGUUCUCAGUUCGGAUUGUAGUCUGCAACUCGACUACAUGAAGCUGGAAUCGCUAGUAAUCGUAGUUCAGCAUGCUACGGUGAAUACGUUCCCGGGUCU